CGUACACACCCAUUCAUCUACUGCACUGACGACUGGCACCGCAGCGCUGUCAUCACCGGGCCAUUGCUGAGUUCAUGCGGUCGAGAGAGAAAGAGGGAUGACAGUGACCGGGACGACGACUCGUCAGCUUUGCUCCGUCCCCACGACAGCCGCGAUGUCGCUCGCUGAGGAAAGUGCACGCCGCCGCGUGCGAAGGCUCGCCGGCAUGGGCAAAUAUGAGCUCGCUGAAGAGCUUCUGCAAAGCGAUUGUGCCCAGAGCGAAACGGCGCUCUCUGCGGCGGCCAUGCAGUUGGAAAGAGACGGUGCACAUCAGUGGAAUGCGCUGCAACGAGCCGAAGGUCAAUACCUCUUGCAGCAGCGGCGCGCCGCAUCGCAAGAGAAGCGCGUACACUUGGAGCGUCUUCUCCGCUCACAAGCUGAACGACGCCGAGCGGACGAGGAGGAGCUGGCCCGGUUCGCCGCCUCUGAGACUGUGAAACUGCAAACCAUGCCGAUAGCUGUCCCUCGCGAGGUGCUGGUGUUGCAACAGCAGGAGACAGAGCUGAGAUGGGAAGGCAGCUUUUCUGAGGCUGCCAAGCGCCGCCGCGAUGCGGCGCGCCUAGAAAGAGAACUCUUGGGCGCCUAUUUGCUCAGCCGAGGCAGCUUGCUCGAACAUCGCAUCACUCGUCAGGCGGCUGCCUUGCUCAAGCGGGAAACUAUAGCGCUAGAGAAGGAUGAUGCCAGCAUGGCUGCGCUGCAGGCGAAGCAUGCAGGACAUCGUCGGUGUGCCGUGGCGCAGCUGAGACACAUCGAGGAUGGGAUGCUUGCCGCACAGAGCCGCACCCAUCGCUACUUGCAGGAGACGCGUGCGCGCAACGGCAUGCUCAGCGCUACGCACACCAGGACUCAGCGCGGCACUGCACUGGAAAGGCGUGUGUACGGCGAUGCCUACCGGCUGCCAUCGUUGUGCGAGCUGUACGGCUCACUAAUGGAAGAGCGUCCUUCUACCUCGCCAGCCGUGUAGCUGUAGUGAGCGGAGGCAACGCUGUGAGAGAUAAGGUGAAGUGGAGUGUGGCGCGCUACCAAACAGUGUCACGUCUCUCCUUCUUUCCUUAACGAGAGUGCCGCGUUGUUUAUAUAAUUUUUUCCAUUCCACUCAAAGGAAAUCGAGAAUGGUGGAACACUUUUGAUGUACACUACGAUGGAAUCUAGCAACAAGGCAUGAGCCGCAUUGCAUGCAUUGGCGGUACACAGCCACAAAGACACCACACACACACACAUGCAGGUGCCUCCAACUCACAGGAAAAGUCCCCUCUCAUUGAUGUCACCGACGUUGUGCUCGAUAUCACUCAACACGCAGGCUGCUGGAAAAUGCAGUUGCUGCUCUUUGCGUACACGGAGUCGCAGCUCCUCAAAGUUCAUAUUUGCUGAACGCGACGGCAUGGAAGGGAAGAAAGGGGUGAGUUGGGCGUGGCGCAUGGGUUAGUGGGUGAGAGGAAAGGGAGAUAAAUCGAAAAGAGGGCAAAGACUCGCGGCACAGUGGCACUAGAGCACACAUAUUGGUUGGGCGCUUCUAGGAUUAGUCCGAUACGAGAGUGAUUCCGCAUCGUUCCUGCACUGCCACCACUCCCAGCGAACAGGUGCAUCACGCGUUGCUAAGUAAGACUGCUGCGUUACUCUUUCUCCUCUGCCCCCCCCCCCCCCCCCCCCCCCCCCCUUCCGACGACGACGGCCGCUUCUCCCACUUCUGCCUUUUUCUGUACUUUGCUUCGUUAG
RNAcentral lists this unclassified non-coding RNA (1755 nucleotides) under Leishmania donovani. RNAcentral describes it as "gene:LdHU3.35.0150(CDS-product:hypothetical_prote in_conserved)". The record is from RNAcentral. Lineage: Eukaryota; Euglenozoa; Kinetoplastea; Trypanosomatida; Trypanosomatidae.